UACGUAGGGGGCAAGCGUUGUCCGGAUUUAUUGGGCGUAAAGAGCGUGUAGGCGGCUAGGUAGGUCCGUUGUGAAAACUCGAGGCUCAACCUCGAGACGCCGAUGGAAACCAUCUGGCUAGAGUCCGGAAGAGGAGAGUGGAAUUCCUGGUGUAGCGGUGAAAUGCGCAGAUAUCAGGAGGAAUACCGGUGGCGAAAGCGACUCUCUGGACGGCAACUGACGCUGAGGCACGAAAGCGUGGGGAGCAAACAGG
RNAcentral lists this ribosomal RNA (253 nucleotides) under uncultured bacterium. RNAcentral describes it as "partial 16S ribosomal RNA". It matches the Rfam family "Bacterial small subunit ribosomal RNA", at positions 524 to 776 of the family's 1533-position model. The record is from RNAcentral.